This 4382-nucleotide long non-coding RNA is filed under the name Cimex lectularius (bed bug). RNAcentral describes it as "uncharacterized LOC106661397". Lineage: Eukaryota; Metazoa; Arthropoda; Insecta; Hemiptera; Cimicidae. The record is from RNAcentral.
GGACAACAGCCAUCAUGAAACGGAACAGCAUGAGUACAGCACCCAAUGCACAUGUCAGCACGACGCUGGACAGGUACAACUUUGUAAAAAGCAGUUCAAAAACCAAAUCGGGCAUGUUUUGACCGUUCAAAGACUCCCUUACAAAUGAAGAGAACAAAAUUUACUGUUUACCCAAAAAACAAGAAUAACAAAGGCUAUGUUUAUUUAAACAACUCUAGCAAGGUUUUUUAAAAAUUUAUUAUUCGCUUAAUACUCAAUGGCACAACAUAUUUUUACAUAAUUCAACAAUUUCUCAUCAGAAAAACAUUCUGUUUAAAAAAAUAAUACUAUGGAAAUUUGGCCAAAUUUUACUUAUAAAAAAUAAAAUAAAUUAAAAGAUUUUGCUAAAAUAGUGUAAAUAUUAAGGCUACUACAUAUGUUACACUUUAUUCAGACAAUCUUAGCAUUGUCUCAAACAACUGAAUAAAAUGCAUGAGAAAUAUUUCCAAUUUUUGCAAAAUUAUGACUCAAGGUUUUUUUUUUACAAUUAUAACUGUAAAAGAUGUCAAGAAAGAAACUUUCACAGCCCGGUCCUUAAACACUUCUGUUUAAAUGAGAAUCUGUUUGGUUCAUCGUCAGUGCAGAAGAUGAUCAUCAUGACAAAUAGGAACUUAAGUCGUUCAAAUCUUUAUACGACAUGAACAAAAUGGACUUAUUACUGUAAGCCAAAAGCCAGUUAUACAAUAUUUUGAACCAAGAAAACAUUUGACAUUAAGAAAUGAUGUCGGUAAUGCAAUAUUUUUACUAAAAAAUCAAAAGUAAAAUUAUGGCAAACAUAUAUGAAUACCAAAAAGGUCACUGCUUAAAAAUUACAACGAAAAGAGCUAAAUAUUGCCACCAUGUCUGACCUGUCAUGGCUUGAACAAGUCAGUUUUGUUCAUUUAUUAACCAUAAUUCAUGGUACAUACUCAUCAUGAAAUGAUACACAAUACACAAUAUACAAUAUAUAUUAGUGAUCAAGAAACAUCAACAUAAUUUUAUGGUGGAUUAUCACAAAGUAAUUAAUCUCUAUAAUCGCUGUGAAUGAUACAAAACGAAUCAAAUAUUAAUAUAAUACACCGAAUGUCAUUGAGUUUUAAGAAAAUAUUUGAUAGUGAAACACAAGAAAAAAAUUCAGGCACUGUUUGAUUCUUGGCCUUAAUUAUGGAAAACCAGGAAGAUCCAUUUACAUACAGAUACAUUUACUGUUUUUAAUUGUAUUGGUUUUUGGCAAAAAAAGGCAAACUAGUUUUAGUUUUUCUGUAUUGGAUUUUUGUGAAGUGCAUUAAGCAAAGACUUAAUUGUAAUCAUCGUACAACUUGAGAUAAACAAAAACAAUAAAGAUGAGAGGAUGAGAGAGCGAAAGGAUUCAGCUAAGCUUUCCAGAGCAGAGAUCACAACUACAACUGCUUCUUUGUGAUUCUGCAUGGUUUCAGUCUGUCUUUAACUUUUAGCAAAAGGUUACCAAAAGGAAAAGUUUAUCACAGUUUUAUAUCAUAACUGAAAAGGAAAGCCACAGCAUGAUCAUCAUAAAGUCUAGCUGUAAAACUUGCGAUCACAGAGAAACAAGAAUUGAAAAAAGCUGAUAUUGUAAGUACGUUUAUACAGUGAUGGCAUUAAGAGGUCAGAUGAAGCCAAGCCUCCAGAAUCGGAAUCAGGUACAAUCAUUACAUGAUUAUUCUCGUUUUCACCUAUCACUGCUUUAUAACACGACUGAAAAGAAAGCCACAUUUUGGAAAAGGCUUUGUUCAUUUAUCAAUAAUAAUACAUGAUAAAGGCUAUCUGAUCAAAAUCAUUCAUCUCUACAAUCACAGCUACUGGUACAAAAUGAACCUAAUAUUAAUAUAAUGCACCCAAUGUCAUAGUUUUAAGAAAAUAUUUGAUAGUGAAAUAAAAAUGAAAAAUAUAUUAAGACACUAUUUGGAGCAGAUCUGAACAUUUAACACUUUUAAAUUUGUUGUUUUUUGGUAAACAUAAAAGCAACUUAGACCUCGUAUUCCUUGUUUUUUUAAUUUUUUGAGAUAUGUUUGGUUCUUAAUGUGAAGCCUCACACAAUUGAUAUAAUGGCAAGCAGGGCGACUUGUGAUCACAGAAAAAAAAGAACUGGAAUAGUUGAUUAUAUAUAAGGUUGAACCAAGAUGGCUGUGAGAGACGGUAAAGCCAAGCAUCUGGAACUGAAAUUAGACGUGCAUCUGCCUCUGCAAGAUUCCACUCGGUUUCACUUAUCACUAACUUUUGGCAAACAAUUCAGUUACAAAAAGAAAAAUUUUAUCACUGCUUUAUAACAUUAGCGAAAAGAAAACUGAGCUUGGGCUCAUAUUUUGUUCUUCAAUUAUUCAAUAAUAAAACGAUAAAUACUACCAUUGAUCAAGGAGUAUAAGCUUAACAUCUUGGGUAUUGUGUGAAGUGUAUACAGGUUUGAUAAACGAAGCUUCAACACAACCAUCAUGAUGUCAAGCCAUGCGACUUGCUAUCACAGACAUAUACCUGAAAAAGCUAACAUUGUAUGUAUGUAAAUUUAAAUGUCAGAUUCAGUGUGAGACUGUGUUGGUCACACGGUGAAGCCAAGCCUCUGGAACCGGAAUCACAGUUUCAAACACCUCUGCAUGAUUCCACUUGGUUUCACCUAUAUCUACAUUGUGGCCAAAAAUUUAAGAAAAACAAAAGGAAAAGUUUAUCACUGCUUUACAACAUUAUUGAAAAGAAAGUCACAGCUUGAACACAUUUGUUGUUCUUCUUUUAAUAAAAAAACGAGAUAAAUGUAUCAGUGCUCAAGAAGCAAAAGCAUGACUUCUUAGGUUUUGUGUGAAACGUAUUUCGGUUUGAAAAACAAAGCCUCAGCACAAUCAUCAUAAUGCCAAGCCAUGCAACUUGUGAUCACAGAUAAACAACUGAAAAAUCUGAUACUGUAUGUGUAUAAAUUUAAAUCCAGGUAUAUGUGAGAGACAAAUGUUGGGUCAGUCGGUGUAGCCAAGCCCCAGGUACCGGAAUCACAGUUUCAACCGCCUCUGCAUGAUUCCUCUUGGUUUCACCUAUUGCUAACUUUUGGCAAAAAAUUUAUGAAUAACAAACAGGAAAAGUUUAUCACUGUUUUAUAACUGAAAAGAAAAUUACAGCUUGAACACAUUUGUUAUUCCUCUAUUAAUAUUAAAACUUGGUAAAUCUAUCAGUGCUCAAGAAGCAUCACCAAAACUUCUAGGGUUUUGCGUAACGUGUUUGGAUUUGAAAAGCGAACCCUCAAUGCAAUCAUCAUAAUGUCAAACCAUGUGACUUGCAAUCACAGGAUGAAAAGGAAUGAAAUUUAAAAAUCAACUCAAAGGUUAAGUUGAGCUAAAUUUGAAGCAGGCAUCAGGACAUUCCAUGACCGAGAAGAGUUAACCAGGAAAUGGUACUUCCACUUUUGAAUAAAGUAAUAAAUUGCCACAGAGUAAAGCGCUGAAAUUCUCAAAAUAAUGCACACUUUCCAUAGUAUAGUCAAUUUAAAAAUGAAAAGUAGCAGUGAAAUCAAUUAAACAACACCAAACUCAAUCAGGUAACAAAAAAAAGACCUUGUGAUCUGUAGGGUGAUGAACCUCUAGUUUGGUCGUUACUGAUAAUUUUUGGUCUGUCUGUUUCGCCGUAUAUCUUAUCUUCAGUGUGUUAGUGUAACAACGCAUCUGACAGACCUGACCAGCUAGACCAGCAUGAUCAGUACUGACCGAACUAAAAUAAGUCCUGUCAUAAAGGAUGGCUUAAUAGUCCAACUACUCAUUAUGGUGCGAAUGAAUGAGAGAGUUAAGCUAUUUAAUUAAAGAUAUACUUUUUCUAUAAUGUUUCAUCAUUUUAUAAAACCCAAUAAUUCUCAUAUAUAAAAAAUUCCAUGUAUUUGAAGACAAUAAAAUUAUCGACCUGACGAUUUCAAGCAGAUCAAAUGAACCAAAAUAACCCAAAUGCUUUCAUUAGGUUUUCCUUUUUACAGUAAUAGUCACAGAUUGACUUGGUACAGUAUUUGGUCUUCUAGGAGCUCCAGGAGUGGUAGAGAGCACUUGGGGAGAAUAAAAUCACCCCAGAAAGCAUUCCAAGCUACAUGGGCCAAAACAAGGUGAAGAGGAACGGAUCGUUGGCGAAUUUCAUCAUCUCCUCCUUGCCCAUAUUGACGAAAAUACGGCACACUUUGGCAAUGCUGAUGACCACGUUGCUGUUGUUUUGUGGCUACCCUUCCUGGAGGAGGAUAUCCAUUUUGGCGUUGGACUGGUCGACCAACAUCUCAGACAUCUCCUAUGCCAGGGUUUGUACUCAAAACUGCUGUGGCAAAUACCAAAAUUAGACACCCAAAUGACUUGGCCACUAUGAUCCUCCACAAAAAAUAAAUUAAUUAAAUAAGA